RNAcentral lists this unclassified non-coding RNA (1616 nucleotides) under Hevea brasiliensis (rubber tree). The record is from RNAcentral. Lineage: Eukaryota; Viridiplantae; Streptophyta; Magnoliopsida; Malpighiales; Euphorbiaceae.
GAGAGAGAGAGAGAGAGAGAUGAAGCCUUAAGGGCAUUAUUUAUCACUGAAAUUAGAUGAAGCCUUAAGGCCAUUAUUUAUCACUGAAAUUAUUGCAUAUUUUGUGUUCUAAAAGCUAAAAAGGGUCAUAGUGCAAACCAAUAGAAGAAAUCAAUGGCACUCCUCUUGACUCCAAAAACUUAAUCUUCACAAUUUUGCCAUAAACAACUUGUUUCUUUUCAAGCUUAUGGAGCCUCUUGUACCCCACUGUAGUCCCUUUUGCAACCUUCUUUCCAUCUACAUAAAUUUCAUGCCGUUUGAUCCUCUGACCAAGAGCAAUUGCUUCUUGAAUCCUAAUGACGUUAAACCUUAAACUUUCAUUGCAUCGAAUUUCAAUCCAACUACCCUCUUUUUCUUCAUCUCUUGGAACCCAAUAUGUCCACAAAUGGUCACUGUCUAUCACAUUUUCUGCUCCAAAACCACCAUCUUUACCUCCUCUCUGGCUACUAACUUUUAUCAAGCAUUUCUCUGCCAAAUUGGAAGCAAAAAUUGUGUCAAUUGCUUCUUUAAAUUGCUUCAAUCUUUGAACAUCAGCGUAAGAUAUGAGGCCAGUUGAAUUGGGUGGAACAUUGAGCAAAAGUACACAAUUUCGUCCAGCAGAAUUGUAGUAGAUGUCAAGUAGCUGGCUUAGCUUCUUGGGUGACUCGGAUUUAUGCCAAAACCAUCCCUUUCUGAUGGAAACAUCACACUCUGCUGGUAGCCAAUCUGUCCCUUUUGGAUCACCGGUGUUUAGAUAAUCAACAAUACUACCAUUCCCGAUUGAAAGAGAAGUCCGAUUAAUGGUGGACCAGGAUGUAGUUCCCGCAAAUCCAUUUUCAUUUCCAACCCAUCUGACAUCAGGACCUGCAUCAGAGAAUAUAUUGAUGGAACUCUGAAACUCUUUCACCAUUGCAAACCAAUCUGAGAAAUAAUAUGACAUAUUUGGCGCAUUUGAACCCUUAGCUCCAUCAAACCAGAUCUCUUUCACAUUCCCAUACUUGUUUAGCAGCUCUUGCAACUGAGCCAAGUAGUACUCGUUGUAUGGCAAAUCAUGUCCAUAUCUUCUAUCGUGUCGAUCCCACGGAGAUAGAUACAAUCCCACGUCAACCCCACCAUGAUUCUUGGCUGCAUUCACUAAUUCUCGGACGACAUCUCCAUGGCCGUUCUUCCAUGGACUACUAGCCACAGAAUGGUGAGUGUAUUUACUUGGCCACAAGCAGAACCCGUCGUGGUGUUUUGCAGUUAGUAUCAUCAGAGAGACUCCUGCUGCAGCUGCUGUAUCGACCCAUUGGUUGGCGUCCAGCCCAACCGGGUUAAAAAUGGCCGGAUUCUCAUGGCCAGUGCCCCACUCGGAGUCUGUGAAAGUAUUAACCCCGAAGUGGAGGAACAUGAUGAGCUCCCUCUGUUGCCAUUUCAAUUGGGAAAAUGAUGGGAGUGGUAGGAUUGGCAAUGGUGGUGUUGGGACUAGUUCCCGUUUUGAAAUAACAUUUUUUGGAAGUUGAAAGAAUGUAACUAUGCACAAAAAGCACCAUAGCUUAGCCAUGAUGCCUUUUGCUACUGUGGGUUAUUUAUAUUUAAUGAUGAGAGCAAGAGAGAGA